This 72-nucleotide transfer RNA is filed under the name Alphaproteobacteria bacterium GM7ARS4. RNAcentral's name for it is "tRNA-Gly". It matches the Rfam family "tRNA". From Rfam's summary of the family: Transfer RNA (tRNA) molecules are approximately 80 nucleotides in length. Their secondary structure includes four short double-helical elements and three loops (D, anti-codon, and T loops). Lineage: Bacteria; Pseudomonadati; Pseudomonadota; Alphaproteobacteria. The record is from RNAcentral.
GCGGGCGUAGCUCAGAGGUAGAGCGUCGGCUUCCCAAGCCGAAUGUCGUGGGUUCGAUUCCCAUCGCCCGCU